ACAAGUACUACAUCUUUUCCUGCAGAGAAAUGCCAUCUCUGAAAGGCUUCCAUUUGAUUAAUAUUUAUAAUGGAAGUCUGACUCUCUUUUUUUUUUUCUCUUCUCCACAGGCUGUUUUAUUGUCAGAUGGUCACCUCUCUAAUUUGGGGGUUGAAAAUGAUGGUCUUGGCUGUGGCACUUUGCCAGCACAGGCAGUUCCUCUGAUGUCUCUGAAGUCCCCACGAGAGCUGGUGGUCGAUGUUCGAGGUUUCACACCACUUGACACACAUGCAAGUCUCAGCUCGAUCCCCUUCCCCUCGCGCCACCAUUGGUAACGUUCAAAACCUCACAGGUUGUAAUAGCAAUGCUUUUGCUUUCUUCUCUCUAUACUGUCAUUGCUAUAUUCAGCUACAGAAAAGCGUCUCGACCCACUUCAAAUAGCCGUUGUGUUCAAUUUCCACCUCUCCAAAACAAACCAGAGGCGGCUUUUCAAGCCAUAUGUCAGCAGUAUGAGAGGACGGCUUUUAUGUGUUGAAAGCAGUUUAAUAUUUUGUGAAGGCUUACUGCUGCUGCGGACCAGCUGAAUGACAGUCUGACAAUACACUCCCAUCCAUUCUGCUUCUCAGAUCAAGCGCUCGCAGCAGCAACCCUGAGACACAUUCACUCGCUCGCCCGCCCGCUCUCGGCAGGGUGAGAGGGCGACGUGGCCACCCUGACAGAGGGAGCGAGAAUGAAAGUGCAAGACAGAGAAGGAGUGAGAUGUAGAGGUAAUGCAGAGGUUUUC
Cyprinus carpio carpio is the source of this 763-nucleotide long non-coding RNA. The record is from Ensembl. NCBI's taxonomy places the organism in Eukaryota, Metazoa, Chordata, Actinopteri, Cypriniformes, Cyprinidae.